This 380-nucleotide long non-coding RNA is filed under the name Elaeis guineensis (African oil palm). RNAcentral describes it as "long non-coding RNA (EGUI_LNC072897)". Lineage: Eukaryota; Viridiplantae; Streptophyta; Magnoliopsida; Arecales; Arecaceae. The record is from RNAcentral.
UUGCUUUUAAGUGGCACCUAACGCGAAUAUUUUUACCGAGAAACGCCACGCCCUUUAGCUCUCCUUGCUUGCUCCCUUCUUUCUCUGUUUUUUUUAUCUCUCCACCCACCUUUCUCUGUUCUUCUCUCGGCCCGAAGUAGACUGCGGAUUUUAGAAGAAGAAGAAGAAGGAGAGAGAGAGAGAAGGAAAGGAUAAAAGAGAGAGGAGCAGCGAAGGACGAGUAACAACCACGUCCUUCUCAUUCUUUCCAUAUCUCCCACCUUAUCACCAGGGAAGAUCGAAAUUAAAGAGAAAACAGGGGAAAAAAUUUAAAAAAUAGCAACGAGCUAGUUUUUCUCCCGAGAGGUUUACGAUUCCACUUGCCAGAUCUGCUCCAAAAA